RNAcentral lists this unclassified non-coding RNA (340 nucleotides) under soil metagenome. RNAcentral's name for it is "partial contains 5.8S ribosomal RNA, internal transcribed spacer 2, and large subunit ribosomal RNA". The stretch from base 1 to 120 matches the Rfam family "5.8S ribosomal RNA", at positions 35 to 154 of the family's 154-position model. The record is from RNAcentral.
GAUGAAGAACGCAGCGAAAUGCGAUAAGUAAUGUGAAUUGCAGAAUUCAGUGAAUCAUCGAAUCUUUGAACGCACAUUGCGCCCCCUGGUAUUCCGGGGGGCAUGCCUGUCCGAGCGUCAUUACUGCCCUCAAGCGCGGCUUGUGUGUUGGGCCUUCGCCCCCCCCGGGGGCGUGCCCGAAAGGCAGUGGCGGCGCCGUGCCCGGUCCUCGAGCGUAUGGGGCUUUGUCACCCGCUCUGGAGGCCCGGCCGGCCGCCGCCGACCCGCCCAGACCUUUAACCGGUUGACCUCGGAUCAGGCAGGGAUACCCGCUGAACUUAAGCAUAUCAAAAGCGGAGGA